GCCUUUUAAGAAACAGGUUCGAGCUUCUGCGGGUCCUUUUAAGUCUAAUAAUGAGGAAGGAACCUUUUUCAGGCCUCCGUGUCGCGUGCACGUAAUUAGCCUAGCCUAGCGUGUUUAGGAUCGCGGGCUCCCGCGGGGAGUAGCCUUCUUUCCUCCCCUCCCCCCACCGAAAUUCUGCGAUCGGCUACAAAGGCUCCCUUGCUGCAACCUUGCAAACUAGUCAUUGCAUUCUUGGAGGACAACAUCGACUGUACCAUUGGACAAGAAUCUGGUGGGUUGGUUUUACUUUUGAAGUGGGGAAGGGCGGGACACGAAGAAUAUUUCCGUCCGACAGAAUUGCUUGGAGAAGCCGAUUGCCGCUAGCUGGAAAAUGAGAACCCGUGUCAGUCUUUGGCAGCAACAAUUGCAGUUCUGCGUGCUAAUGAGUGAAUGAACCACAAGUGAUAACGGAUGCUAGAGAGAAAGAAAGAGGCUCAACUCACACAGUCCCCAACAACACUUUCAUGUUUCGUAAGGGAUUGUGAGGAAGUUAAAAAUGAGGAGCAGGAGCAAUUCUGGAGUCCGCCUAGAUGGCUACGCUCGACUUGUUCAACAGACAAUUUUGAAUCAACAGAAUCCAGUUACAGGACUACUUUCUGCCAGCACAGAGCAAAAGGAUGCUUGGGUGCGAGAUAAUAUAUAUAGCAUUUUGGCUGUGUGGGGCCUAGGGAUGGCCUACAGGAAGAAUGCAGACCGGGAUGAGGACAAAGCCAAAGCAUAUGAAUUAGAACAGAAUGUUGUGAAACUAAUGCGGGGGCUCUUGCAAUGCAUGAUGAGACAGGUAGAUAAGGUUGAAAAGUUCAAGCACACUCAGAGUACCAAGGAUUGCCUGCAUGCCAAAUAUAACACGGCCACUUGUGGAACAGUAGUUGCAGAUGACAAGUGGGGACAUCUACAAGUAGAUGCAACUUCGCUUUACCUUCUCUUCCUGGCUCAGAUGACAGCAUCAGGAUUGCGUAUUAUUUUCACACUUGAUGAAGUGGCCUUUAUACAGAAUCUUGUAUUUUAUAUCGAGGCUGCCUAUAAAGUUGCUGAUUAUGGCAUGUGGGAACGUGGUGAUAAGACAAAUCAGGGCAUUCCUGAGUUGAAUGCAAGCUCUGUUGGAAUGGCAAAAGCUGCUUUGGAAGCAAUUGAUGAGCUGGACCUGUUUGGAGUUGGAGGUGGACAUAAGUCAGUUAUUCAUGUGCUUCCAGAUGAAGUUGAACAUUGUCAGUCUAUUCUAUACUCCAUGUUACCGAGGGCAUCCACAUCAAAAGAGAUUGAUGCUGGCCUUUUGUCCAUUAUUUCUUAUCCAGCCUUUGCCAUAGAAGAUAUGAACAUUGUUAAUGCAACAAAAAAUGAAAUUAUCACCAAGUUGCAAGGACGUUAUGGCUGCUGUCGUUUCCUCCGAGAUGGCUAUAAAACACCAAGAGAGGAUCCAAACAGAUUACAUUAUGAUCCUGCUGAGCUCAAGUUAUUUGAGAACAUAGAAUGUGAAUGGCCUGUAUUCUGGACAUAUUUUCUAAUUGAUGGAGUUUUCAAUGAUGACAGAAUUCAGGUGCAGGAAUACAGAGAAGCCUUGGAAGGGAUCCUUAUUAGAAAAAAGAAUGGAAUUCUUCUGAUGCCAGAACUGUAUGCAGUUCCACCAGAUAAGGCGAGUGAAGAGUAUGAAAAUCCUCACACAGUGGAUCGUGUUCCAGCAGGAAAACUUCCUCAUCUUUGGGGCCAGUCAUUGUAUAUUCUUUCUGCCCUCCUAGCAGAGGGAUUUUUGGCUACGGGUGAAAUUGAUCCAUUAAACAGAAGGUUUUCAACCGCUUUUAAGCCUGAUGUGGUUGUUCAAGUAACCAUUCUAGCUGAAACAAAUGAAAUUAAGAAACUCUUACGACAUCAUGGAAUUAAUGCACAAAGCAUUGUUGACCUGAGUCCCACCAGAGUGCAGCCAUCUCGGAUUCUGAGUAAUCUUUAUGCUAAGCUUGGGCGUAACAAGAACAUGAAACUGAGUGGGAGGCCUUAUCGGCAUAUUGGUGUCCUGGGAACAUCCAAAUUAUAUAUCAUAAGAAACCAAAUAUUUACUUUUACCCCUCAGUUUACAGAUCAGCAUCACUUCUACUUGGCUUUAGACAAUCGGAUGAUUGUGGAAAUGCUUCGAACUGAGUUGGCUUAUCUAACUUCCCGUUGGCGAAUGACUGGAAGACCAACUCUUACUUUCCCAGUCACUAAUACAAUGCUUGUUGAUGAUGGGACUGAUAUUGAUUCUGCAAUUCUUGCCACCAUAAGAAAGCUUGGAGAUGGAUAUUUUGGAGGAGCAAGAGUGAAGUUGGGCAAACUUUCGGACUUUCUGACCACUUCAUUCUAUACAAACCUAAGUUUCUUGGAUCCUGAUUGUGACAGCAAGCUAUUUGAUGAUGAGAGUGAAGGCUACUCUAGCCCUGAAAGUGGCUAUGAACUAGAAGAUUAUGCAGACUUCUGUGAUAAGGAAAGCCACGAUGAACUGGACCAGUACAUAAACAGUAUGUUACAGAGCACUGCUCUGAAAUCAUACUUACCUUCACUCACAAAAGACACAGGCUCAUCCUACGUGUUUAGUGCUGCUCAUUCUACUAGAGAAAUACUAUCAAUCAUGGCCAAGGUUAAGGGACUGGAUGUUCCAAAUGUUUCAAUGACCUUGCCUACAAAGGUUUUAAACACUCAUCGGAAAUCUUUGAACCUAGUUGACUCCCCUCAUCCACAAAUGGGUCAAGAAUGUAAGACUGCUCUUCAUUUGCCCAAGGAUGCUCAUGGUGAUUUGGAUUGUGAGAAAUUAAUUGGGCAGCUAACAGAAUGCCCUACAUUACAUGACCAGGCUGAUAUAUUAUACGUCUUAUAUCUAAUAAAAGGUCUUGAUUGGGAAACACAGCUCUAUGGCCAGUCUGGAGUCACAGUUCAUUGCCUCCUCAACGAACUGUACAGCAAAGCAGGUGUAAACCAAGAAUGGGGGCUCAUCCGUUAUAUUUCUGGCAUAUUGAAAAAGAAAGUUGAAGUCCUGGCUGAGGCCUGUACAGAUCUUUUAUCCCACCAGAAGCAACUUACAGUUGGCCUCCCGCCUGAGCCCCGUGAAAAAACAAUUACAGCGCCUUUGCCUCCUGAAAAGCUGACUGAAUUAAUAUAUGAAGCCUGUGGCCAGGAUAUCAGCAUUGCAGUCCUCACACAGGAAAUUAUAGUGUACCUGGCCAUGUAUGUCCGGUCACAACCCAGUCUCUUUGCAGAAAUGCUCAGACUCCGCAUUGGGCUCAUUAUUCAAGUGAUGGCCACAGAACUUGCUCGCAACUUGAAUUGUUCGGGUGAAGAAGCCUCUGAAAGUUUAAUGAAUCUGAGUCCCUUUGAUAUGAAAAAUCUUCUUCAUCAUAUUCUCAGUGGAAAAGAAUUUGGAGUCGAAAGGAGCAUGCGUCCUCUUGAUUCUUCUACAUCCAGCCCUGCUAUAUCUAUCCAUGAAGUGGAUCACACUGGAGCAACAAAGACAGAAAGAAGUGGCAUUACAAGACUGAAAAGUGAGAUGAAACAGAGACAUAAGAGACUAAGUAGUAAUGAACAGUUCUUCUAUGGGGGCCAUUCCACAUCCAGCAGCAUGCACUCAUCCAGGUCCAUGAGAUGCAGUAGCCCAUCUUCUCCUACUAGUACUUCAUCCCUAACUGGGUCAGUUGGACACUCUAUUAGCUGGGGUGACCGACAAGGGCAGUGGCUUCGCAGGAGACGGCUCGAUGGUGCCAUUAAUAGAGUCCCUGUGGGUUUCUAUCAGAAAGUGUGGAAGAUCCUUCAGAAGUGUCAUGGACUGUCUAUUGAUGGGUAUGUCCUUCCAUCUUCAACCACAAGGGAGAUGACUGCUUGUGAAAUUAAGUUUGCUGUCCAUGUGGAAUCAGUGCUGAACCAUGUGCCCCAGCCUGAAUACAGACAGUUAUUAGUGGAGGCCAUCCUUGUACUGACCCUAUUGUCAGAAAUAGAUGUGAACAGUAUUGGGGGUAUAAUUCAUGUGGAUCGGAUUGUGCACAUAGCAAAUGACCUCUUCCUUCAGGAACAGAAAUCCCUCGGAGCAGUUGAUGGCUUCUUAGAACAAGAUGCAGGCACAGGUAUCUGCUACUUUUUCUAUGACAGUGCUCCAAGUGGUGCUUAUGGAACCAUGACUUAUCUAACAAAGGCAGUAGCCAGUUAUCUCCAUGAAUUUCUUCCAAGCACAGGCUGCCUGAUGCAGUAAACUGUCCAAAAUACAAGAUCCAUUCCUACAGGAUUUUUCUUAUAAUCAUAAUUUUUUGAGUCCUCAGUGGCUAGGACUUCUGGAAGUUGAAUACAUCCUGGAGACUGCUGAGAAAGGCUGCCCUGUAGCUCCUCAUGCUACCUCAACAUUACCUGCAUCAUUUUACUAUUAACAUAAGGCCUCAGCCUGGGAGCAAGAUCAAAGGCAAAAUUCUAUGUAUAUCUCCUGCAGAGCAUUGUCUGUAUCAUCUUGGACUCAGGCAACUGGCUUGUCUGGUUGUCAGACACCUGCAUAGACUGAAAAAUAAGUAAAGUUGUUCCACAAUAAAUUAUUAACUAUAGACUUACUUGGAGCAUAAUGAAACAGAAAACAUCUAAAAUCUACACCAACACAUUAAGCAUGUUGGCAGGAUCAGCUGGAAUUUAGUUUCCAGAGGUAAUAAAACAUUGACACAAAUUCAUAUUUAUUUUAUCCUACAUUUAAAAGAAAAAAACCAAUAUGGAGCAAAUGUCUGAAAUGCAAAAACCUAUUAUAGGACUGACAAAGAAUUUUAGUCCACUAAUUUUGAAUAAGUGUUUUGCUAUACGUGUUUUGCUACUAUUUCAGCAUUGCAGUAAGUAAUGAGUAGUAAUAAGCAAUGAGAGAAGAAAAUUAAUGCUAAAGGCAUUAUAGCAAGUGGUAUCUUGUAUGACCUACAAUUGUAAUACCAGUUCAGGCAUGCUUUUGCACUUGUGUUCAGUAUUGAAUGCUAUAUCAACAUAUUUGUGCUAAAAUAUUAAGUAUUUAUUUAAAGUCAGAAAAUAUAUCUCCGGGGAAAAAGUUAUUCAUAUAAAUAAUGGGUCAGCAUUAUAGUGAAAGCUGGAAAGACAGUUGGAUGUUUAAUUGUCUUUUUCUUUUUGUUAUAUGUUUCUUCUGUAUUUAUAAUAAAACAUCCUAUUAAACUCCACAGUGUCAGAUUGUUGCAUGUUUGAGUUUCUGACAUUCUAAAACUUGAAUGGAGGAGGGAAAUGAUUAAUAAUGUAUCUUCAUUGAGCAUUUAAGCAUGGUUUUAUAUCAAAGAUAAUAUGUAAUGAAAGAAACAUGAUUAAAUAUGUUAAUGUUAAUUAUCACUUUGUGGAAACAACAUUUUUAAUUUACACGUAAAUCUUGCCUCAUCUAAAUAGAAAUAGAGAAAUAUACUUUAUUUUUGAGUACAGUAUAGAAUACUU
Molecule: non-coding RNA, 5454 nt
Organism: Pseudonaja textilis
Lineage: Eukaryota; Metazoa; Chordata; Lepidosauria; Squamata; Elapidae
Source: RefSeq, a predicted model, not a curated record